AGAGUUUGAUCAUGGCUCAGAACGAACGCUGGCGGCAGGCUUAACACAUGCAAGUCGAACGCCCCGCAAGGGGAGUGGCAGACGGGUGAGUAACGCGUGGGAACGUACCCUUUACUACGGAAUAACGCAUGGAAACGUGUGCUAAUACCGUAUGUGCCCUUCGGGGGAAAGAUUUAUCGGUAAAGGAUCGGCCCGCGUUGGAUUAGCUAGUUGGUGGGGUAAAGGCCUACCAAGGCGACGAUCCAUAGCUGGUCUGAGAGGAUGAUCAGCCACAUUGGGACUGAGACACGGCCCAAACUCCUACGGGAGGCAGCAGUGGGGAAUAUUGGACAAUGGGCGCAAGCCUGAUCCAGCCAUGCCGCGUGAGUGAUGAAGGCCCUAGGGUUGUAAAGCUCUUUCACCGGAGAAGAUAAUGACGGUAUCCGGAGAAGAAGCCCCGGCUAACUUCGUGCCAGCAGCCGCGGUAAUACGAAGGGGGCUAGCGUUGUUCGGAUUUACUGGGCGUAAAGCGCACGUAGGCGGAUCGAUCAGUCAGGGGUGAAAUCCCAGAGCUCAACUCUGGAACUGCCUUUGAUACUGUCGAUCUGGAGUAUGGAAGAGGUGAGUGGAAUUCCGAGUGUAGAGGUGAAAUUCGUAGAUAUUCGGAGGAACACCAGUGGCGAAGGCGGCUCACUGGUCCAUUACUGACGCUGAGGUGCGAAAGCGUGGGGAGCAAACAGGAUUAGAUACCCUAGUAGUCC
Molecule: ribosomal RNA, 740 nt
Filed under: uncultured bacterium
Lineage: Bacteria
Description: bacterial SSU rRNA
Rfam family: Bacterial small subunit ribosomal RNA
Source: RNAcentral